UGAAGCCCAAGGUCCCACGUAUACCCCUAAAGUAUCUUUGUACACAACCACCUAUUCCUUUCCCGAGAGAAAAAACAACGUGAAUCAAUCUCACGCAAUGGGAUCUCGAUCUACUGCCUCUCUUCCUGUGGAAUACGAAUCUCUCUCAAAUUGGAUCAAGCAAGUUGGGGCAAGGAUCUGGUGUACUCACGGGGCUAAAUUAUUUUCCUCGGUAGUUCGGGUUCGUCUUCAAUCAUCGACGUUUUCUGAAGUUGUUAUUUUUUGCUGGUUGGUAAUUUAAUCGAUUGUAUGUUUUCCGUUGUCUUCGAGCUGAAUACAAGGAUGAAGAUGUGUUUCUCUAGACUCCAAUUCCCCAAUCCCUCGACUCUAGACAGGAAACAGGUCCCAGGGAUUGUUUCUCCCCAAUCCCUCGACUCUCUCUGUGGUAGACAGGAAAUAUGGUCAGGGAUUGCAUGGCGGCCGCAACAAUGACAUGGCUGCUGUUAACUGCUCCCGCUGGCGAGGAGAAUGAGAGGCCGUGGCACCCAGCCGCGAGCAAGACGGAGGAUCGCUGCAACUCCACCCAGUAGUAGUCGCUCCCACAGUCCCACCCACGAAGAAGAAGAGGGGUUGCUUUGGCUGCUCCCGGUCGUCCCUUGCACCUUCAGCUUGAUAGGAUAAAACCGUCUGAUUCUUGAGGUGUUUCCUUGGUAUGACACAUAGACAUAUAUUUAUUUGGUUUGACUUGGAUAAGAGGAGACUACGUCAAUGAUUGCUUAUUCCGUCAUAUAUAUGCAAUUUCGUUCAAAUUUCUAGGCACAGGUGAGUUUGAUAUGGAGACAAUGGAUUGGUUACUCUCUCUUAUAAGACAUGCAGAUUUCACAUAUUUAUGAUUAUUUGAACCUUGCUAUCGUCCAUCUCAUGCAUAAAGCAUAUGAUUACAUGAAAAGUGUUGUAGCUAAUAACACAUAAUUAUCUUCUGAUCAACCACCAGACUAGACGAUGGGUUCCGCACCAUAGACAAUCAGCGGCGCCCCCCCCCCCCCCCCCCUACAUCUCUAAAUGAUUUUUUUAUAUUUUUGCUUCUGAUUAACUUAUGUGCAUCGAGGUGCAUCAGGUAUCAUGAAUGGAAAUAUUAUACCAAUCUAUGCGUCUCACAAUCGUUUCCUAAUUAAGCAUUACCAAGCGUGCAGUGGAGACAUAUUAAUAUAUAAGGUAAUACAAGAAACAGGACUUUGCUAUUUGAUCACUUAAUAGUGGCAGUAUUUCAGGCUCAGACUGCGUGCAUGUCUGCAUACUGCAUGCAUGUGCGGUUUAAUUUUUCAGUGCAUGCGUACUCAUAUAUAUCACAAGAAGAUGUGGUCGACUUGGAGAACGUCUUAACAUUUGACGGAGUAGGGAUAGACAACCUUUUUUAAAGACGCGGUAGCAACACCAGCACCAUUUAUUCUGGCGAUGACAUGUCCAUGUACAUUGAUAUGGUUGACACUCACCUCAGGCUUCAUGGCCAUUUACAGAAUAUCUAUAUGGAUGGAGUAUUUGUUUGUUAUUUUCUAAAAAAGAGAAGCGCAACCAACGCCUUAAGACUACUGGGACAAGGCUCCGAAGCGGCCGAAACAGCAAAGGCAGCGGAGGUGGCCGGUAGGCCAGCUGCUCGGAGGCGAGACGCAAGGCCGGCGGCUCAGCGGGCCGCAGCCGGGACAGAGGCGACCGGCGGAGGCGCGCCGGCGAGGUGCGGGCGCGACGGCGAUGAUGCAAAGUCCUCUCGAGUCCGCUUGUGCAGAAACGGAGCAGCAAAGUGCGGCCGGGUGGCUCGCCGACGGCUCAAAAGUAAGGCGGCUCAGGCCAGGGAGCAUUGGCGGCUCUAGCCAGCGGCAGCUUUCAGCGAGGCGGCUUGGAGACUGCCAGCGACGUCUCGUGUUGCGGAGGCAACCCAGCAGAGUUGAGGUCGGCGGGUCACGGCCUCGGCGGUUCAGUGGAAGCCCACAGCAAAGCAGAGCAUGGCUAGUCGGCCGCAGUAGAAAAGGCGACUUGGGAAAGCCCGCUGCGAUGCAGAGGCGAGGCUAAAUUUCGUGUUUUGACUCUUUUCUGAAACCUAUUCAAGAUUUG
This is a long non-coding RNA of Triticum aestivum (bread wheat), 2088 nucleotides long. RefSeq lists it as uncharacterized. The transcript is spliced from 4 exons. The record is from RefSeq and is a predicted model, not a curated record. Lineage: Eukaryota; Viridiplantae; Streptophyta; Magnoliopsida; Poales; Poaceae.